RNAcentral lists this ribosomal RNA (200 nucleotides) under uncultured eukaryote. RNAcentral's name for it is "partial 18S ribosomal RNA". The record is from RNAcentral.
CGGAAGCCAAGAGAAGCCAAGCGAUUCAAAAAUAUCGGCUUCAAUCGAGAAAAACUACAGCGAGAUUUUCCAGAUAUCUCUGCUGAUGAGCUCAGCGAGAAAGUUGAGCGAAAAAUGAAGCGCCCCCCUGAGUUUGUUUACCGCGAGGCGAUGGAAGACAGCACGGGUGUGUUGAUAAUUUAUCUCUUUGAUUCGCAUUA